This 462-nucleotide ribosomal RNA is filed under the name uncultured bacterium. Its description in RNAcentral is "partial 16S ribosomal RNA". It matches the Rfam family "Bacterial small subunit ribosomal RNA", at positions 28 to 507 of the family's 1533-position model. The record is from RNAcentral.
GACGAACGCUGGCGGCGUGCUUAACACAUGCAAGUCGAGCGGAAAGGCCCUUCGGGGUACUCGAGCGGCGAACGGGUGAGUAACACGUGAGUAACCUGCCCCAGACUUUGGGAUAACCCUCGGAAACGGGGGCUAAUACCGGAUACGACACAGCUUCGCAUGGGGUCUGUGUGGAAAGGUUUUCGGUUUGGGAUGGGCUCGCGGCCUAUCAGCUUGUUGGUGGGGUGAGGGCCUACCAAGGCGACGACGGGUAGCCGGCCUGAGAGGGCGACCGGCCACACUGGGACUGAGACACGGCCCAGACUCCUACGGGAGGCAGCAGUGGGGAAUAUUGCACAAUGGGCGGAAGCCUGAUGCAGCGACGCCGCGUGCGGGAUGACGGCCUUCGGGUUGUAAACCUCUUUCAGCAGGGACGAAGCGUAAGUGACGGUACCUGCAGAAGAAGCGCCGGCCAACUACGUG